This 232-nucleotide ribosomal RNA is filed under the name uncultured bacterium. Its description in RNAcentral is "partial 16S ribosomal RNA". It matches the Rfam family "Bacterial small subunit ribosomal RNA", at positions 99 to 334 of the family's 1533-position model. The record is from RNAcentral.
CGGACGGGUGAGUAAUGUAUGGGGAUCUGCCUGAUGGGGGGGGAUAACUACUGGAAACGGUAGCUAAUACCGCAUAACGUCGCAAGACCAAAGAGGGGGACCUUCGGGCCUCUUGCCAUCGGAUGUGCCCAGAUGGGAUUAGCUAGUAGGUGGGGUAACGGCUCACCUAGGCGACGAUCCCUAGCUGGUCUGAGAGGAUGACCAGCCACACUGGAACUGAGACACGGUCCAG